Molecule: long non-coding RNA, 961 nt
Organism: Mobula hypostoma (lesser devil ray)
Lineage: Eukaryota; Metazoa; Chordata; Chondrichthyes; Myliobatiformes; Myliobatidae
Exons: 3
Source: RefSeq, a predicted model, not a curated record
GUUAUACGAAAGGAGUGAUAUACAUCUCACGGAAGAGAAAAUGCUGCAGGCAGUGGCUGAGGAUACCACCCAGGAUUGAAGUCCCCAAAGUGUACCCUCUGACAAGGCUGUGAUGUCCUCUUCACAUCUGCAUUGGGUGCCGUCAAGAAGGUGACCAGUACAAGCAGCUCCGAUGGAAACCAUCAAAUAUUCCUGCUUCAGUCUGCUACAGCUGAGAACCACAACUACAUCCAAGAAGUGCCCUCAGCCCAUCAAGUCCUAAUUGCAAGAAAUCUCAGAGACGUAUCUAACUUCAUCACAUCAUCAUCCCCGAGGCCUGAUAUGGUCAUUCUGUCAGAAACCUCGAAGCAGGUGGUCAUGGUAGAACUGACAGUUCCCUAGGAAGACCGGAUUGAGGAGGUGUUUGAGUGUAACAAAGCCGAAUAUCAGGAGCUAUCAGAGCAGUGCCAGAGACACGAUGCAAGCCUAGAGAGGUGGGGUAUAGAGGUUUUGCUGGCUGCUAGCUGUAUAAAAUCUACUCUCUCCUUGGCACUAUGGGGACUGCAAAGAAAAGAACCAUCAGGACCAUCACAGAGGCCGCUGAGCAAGUGUCCAGAUGGCUAUGGAUCAAGAGGUGUGACCCGUGGACUAGUGCUGCUGAGACACAAGCCAGGGCCUGAUCAAUCCUGGCUGAGCUGCCUGGGCGAGGGUGUCUGAUAUUGAAGGACCUGAAACACCUGAUGACCCCAGGUUACAUCACUGAUGACGUGUCCCAGCACAUCCUGGGAUGUAUCUCUGCAACAAAUGAAUUGACUUUACAUCAGCAAGUGGGCUGUGUCCAGUGGGGCACCGAUGCAUACAAGUUUUAAAUUUUUAAUAUUUACUAAUUUUAACUAUUUUAAUAUCUUUAAUAUUUAAUAUUUGUAAUCCAGAGACUGUGAAGCGCAGAAUCAAAUAUCGCUGUGAUGAUUGUAUGUUCUAG